This 267-nucleotide ribosomal RNA is filed under the name uncultured bacterium. Its description in RNAcentral is "partial 16S ribosomal RNA". It matches the Rfam family "Bacterial small subunit ribosomal RNA", at positions 333 to 617 of the family's 1533-position model. The record is from RNAcentral.
UUGUUCCUACGGGGGGCAGCAGUGGGGGAUAUUGCACAAUGGGGGAAACCCUGAUGCAGCGACGCCGCGUGGGUGAAGAAGCGCCUCGGCGCGUAAAGCCCUGUCAGCAGGGAAGAAAAUGACGGUACCUGAAGAAGAAGCCCCGGCUAACUACGUGCCAGCAGCCGCGGGAAUACGUAGGGGGCAAGCGUUAUCCGGAUUUACUGGGUGUAAAGGGAGCGUAGACGGCAUAGCAAGUCUGAAGUGAAAGACCGAGGCUCAACCGCG